AUUUGGACUUCCUUGUACUGUCAAUUUAAUUAAGUCAGCCAGUCUUCCGAUUUAUGCGAUGAUAACUCAGCCAUCACGUUAUAAUAACUCAACCAAAUAU
This 100-nucleotide small RNA is filed under the name Arabidopsis thaliana (thale cress). RNAcentral's name for it is "ATSL158630". The record is from RNAcentral. Lineage: Eukaryota; Viridiplantae; Streptophyta; Magnoliopsida; Brassicales; Brassicaceae.